Molecule: non-coding RNA, 46 nt
Organism: Pelecanus crispus (Dalmatian pelican)
Lineage: Eukaryota; Metazoa; Chordata; Aves; Pelecaniformes; Pelecanidae
Source: Rfam
UAAAAGGUUUUUUUUAAAACCAUGAGAUUUAAAAAAAUAAAUACGU